UUGAAGACUACAACGUUGAUAGGCAGGGUGUGUAAGCACUGUAAGGUGUUGAGCUAACCUGUACUAAUUGCCCGUGAGGCUUGACCAUAUAACACCCAAGCAGUU
This is a ribosomal RNA of 105 nucleotides. The stretch from base 1 to 88 matches the Rfam family "Bacterial large subunit ribosomal RNA", at positions 2838 to 2925 of the family's 2925-position model.